This 253-nucleotide ribosomal RNA is filed under the name uncultured bacterium. Its description in RNAcentral is "partial 16S ribosomal RNA". It matches the Rfam family "Bacterial small subunit ribosomal RNA", at positions 524 to 776 of the family's 1533-position model. The record is from RNAcentral.
UACGUAGGAGACGAGCGUUGUCCGGAAUUACUGGGCGUAAAGCGCGUGUAGGCGGACAGGCAAGUCUGCUGUGAAAGCUCCUGGCUUAACCGGGAGUGGUCGGUGGAAACUGCCCGUCUGGAGGACGGUAGAGGUAGGUAGAAUUCCCGGUGUAGUGGUGAAAUGCGUAGAGAUCGGGAGGAAUACCUGUGGCGAAGGCGGGUCUCUGGGCCGGAACUGACGCUAAGGAGCGAAAGCGUGGGGAGCGAACAGG